Schistosoma rodhaini is the source of this 45-nucleotide non-coding RNA. NCBI's taxonomy places the organism in Eukaryota, Metazoa, Platyhelminthes, Trematoda, Strigeidida, Schistosomatidae. The record is from Rfam.
AUCCAGUUGACGAGUCCCAAAUAGGACGAAACGUGCGUCCUCAAU